This 61-nucleotide transfer RNA is filed under the name Minisyncoccota bacterium. Its description in RNAcentral is "tRNA-Thr". It matches the Rfam family "tRNA", at positions 9 to 63 of the family's 71-position model. From Rfam's summary of the family: Transfer RNA (tRNA) molecules are approximately 80 nucleotides in length. Their secondary structure includes four short double-helical elements and three loops (D, anti-codon, and T loops). Lineage: Bacteria; Bacillati; Minisyncoccota. The record is from RNAcentral.
AGCUCAACGGUAGAGCAACGGUAUCGUAAACCGUAGGUUGCCAGUUCAAUUCUGGCAGAGG